RNAcentral lists this ribosomal RNA (253 nucleotides) under uncultured bacterium. RNAcentral describes it as "partial 16S ribosomal RNA". It matches the Rfam family "Bacterial small subunit ribosomal RNA", at positions 524 to 776 of the family's 1533-position model. The record is from RNAcentral.
UGCGUAGGGGGCGAGCGUUAUCCGGAUUCACUGGGUGUAAAGGGAGCGUAGACGGCCAUGCAAGCCAGGGGUGAAAGCCCGGGGCCCAACCCCGGGACUGCCCUUGGAACUGCAUGGCUGGAGUGCGGGAGGGGCAGGCGGAAUUCCUGGUGUAGCGGUGAAAUGCGUAGAUAUCAGGAGGAACACCGGCGGCGAAGGCGGCCUGCUGGACUGCGACUGACGUUGAGGCUCGAAAGCGUGGGGAGCGAACAGG